RNAcentral lists this ribosomal RNA (439 nucleotides) under uncultured bacterium. RNAcentral's name for it is "partial 16S ribosomal RNA". It matches the Rfam family "Bacterial small subunit ribosomal RNA", at positions 339 to 795 of the family's 1533-position model. The record is from RNAcentral.
CUACGGGUGGCAGCAGUGGGGAAUCUUGGACAAUGGGCGCAAGCCUGAUCCAGCCAUGCCGCGUGAGUGAAGAAGGCCUUAGGGUCGUAAAGCUCUUUCGCCAGAGAUGAUAAUGACAGUAUCUGGUAAAGAAACCCCGGCUAACUCCGUGCCAGCAGCCGCGGUAAUACGGAGGGGGUUAGCGUUGUUCGGAAUUACUGGGCGUAAAGCGCGCGUAGGCGGAUUAGUCAGUCAGAGGUGAAAUCCCAGGGCUCAACCCUGGGACUGCCUUUGAUACUGCUAGUCUUGAGUUCGAGAGAGGUGAGUGGAAUUCCGAGUGUAGAGGUGAAAUUCGUAGAUAUUCGGAGGAACACCAGUGGCGAAGGCGGCUCACUGGCUCGAUACUGACGCUGAGGUGCGAAAGUGUGGGGAGCAAACAGGAUUAGAUACCCCUGUAGUC